This 300-nucleotide ribosomal RNA is filed under the name uncultured bacterium. RNAcentral's name for it is "bacterial SSU rRNA". It matches the Rfam family "Bacterial small subunit ribosomal RNA", at positions 775 to 1067 of the family's 1533-position model. The record is from RNAcentral.
GGAUUAGAUACCCUGGUAGUCCACGCCGUAAACGAUGUCGACUAGCCGUUGGGUCCCUUGAGGACUUAGUGGCGCAGUUAACGCGAUAAGUCGACCGCCUGGGGAGUACGGCCGCAAGGUUAAAACUCAAAUGAAUUGACGGGGGCCCGCACAAGCGGUGGAGCAUGUGGUUUAAUUCGAAGCAACGCGAAGAACCUUACCAGGUCUUGACAUACUAGGAUUAAUUCGGUGAAAGCCGUUGGAUUGCCCUCACGGGUGUAACUAGUACAGGUGCUGCAUGGCUGUCGUCAGCUCGUGCCG